RNAcentral lists this ribosomal RNA (253 nucleotides) under uncultured prokaryote. RNAcentral describes it as "partial 16S ribosomal RNA". It matches the Rfam family "Bacterial small subunit ribosomal RNA", at positions 524 to 776 of the family's 1533-position model. The record is from RNAcentral.
UACGGAGGGUGCAAGCGUUAUCCGGAUUUACUGGGUUUAAAGGGUGCGUAGGCGGGUUGUUAAGUCAGUGGUGAAAGAUUCGAGCUUAACUCGGAAACUGCCAUUGAUACUGAUGACCGUGAAUACAGUUGAGGUAGGCGGAAUGUGUCAUGUAGCGGUGAAAUGCUUAGAUAUGACACAGAACACCGAUUGCGAAGGCAGCUUGCUAAACUGUGAUUGACGCUGAGGCACGAAAGCGUGGGGAUCAAACAGG